GUUGAACGCUGGCGGCGCGCCUAACACAUGCAAGUCGAACGAGCGAGAGAGAGCUUGCUUUCUCAAGCGAGUGGCGAACGGGUGAGUAACGCGUGAGGAACCUGCCUCAAAGAGGGGGACAACAGUUGGAAACGACUGCUAAUACCGCAUAAGCCCACGGGUCGGCAUCGACCAGAGGGAAAAGGAGCAAUCCGCUUUGAGAUGGCCUCGCGUCCGAUUAGCUAGUUGGUGAGGUAACGGCCCACCAAGGCGACGAUCGGUAGCCGGACUGAGAGGUUGAACGGCCACAUUGGGACUGAGACACGGCCCAGACUCCUACGGGAGGCAGCAGUGGGGAAUAUUGCACAAUGGGGGAAACCCUGAUGCAGCGACGCCGCGUGGAGGAAGAAGGUCUUCGGAUUGUAAACUCCUGUUGUUGAGGAAGAUAAUGACGGUACUCAACAAGGAAGUGACGGCUAACUACGUGCCAGCAGCCGCGGUAAAACGUAGGUCACAAGCGUUGUCCGGAAUUACUGGGUGUAAAGGGAGCGCAGGCGGGAGAACAAGUUGGAAGUGAAAUCCAGGGGCUCAGCCCAUGAACUGCUUUCAAAACUGUUUUUCUUGAGUAGUGCAGAGGUAGGCGGAAUUCCCGGUGUAGCGGUGGAAUGCGUAGAUAUCGGGAGGAACACCAGUGGCGAAGGCGGCUUACUGGGCACCAACUGACGCUGAGGCUCGAAAGUGUGGGUAGCAAACAGGAUUAGAUACCCUGGUAGUCCACACCGUAAACGAUGAUUACUAGGUGUUGGAGGAUUGACCCCUUCAGUGCCGCAGUUAACACAAUAAGUAAUCCACCUGGGGAGUACGACCGCAAGGUUGAAACUCAAAGGAAUUGACGGGGGCCCGCACAAGCAGUGGAGUAUGUGGUUUAAUUCGACGCAACGCGAAGAACCUUACCAAGUCUUGACAUCCCUUGACGAUGCUGGAAACAGUAUUUCUCUUCGGAGCAAGGAGACAGGUGGUGCAUGGUUGUCGUCAGCUCGUGUCGUGAGAUGUUGGGUUAAGUCCCGCAACGAGCGCAACCCUUAUGGUCAGUUACUACGCAAGAGGACUCUGGCCAGACUGCCGUUGACAAAACGGAGGAAGGUGGGGAUGACGUCAAAUCAUCAUGCCCUUUAUGACUUGGGCUACACACGUACUACAAUGGCGUUAAACAAAGAGAAGCAAGACCGCGAGGUGGAGCAAAACUCAGAAACAACGUCCCAGUUCGGACUGCAGGCUGCAACUCGCCUGCACGAAGUCGGAAUUGCUAGUAAUCGUGGAUCAGCAUGCCACGGUGAAUACGUUCCCGGGCCUUGUACACACCGCC
Molecule: ribosomal RNA, 1345 nt
Filed under: uncultured bacterium
Lineage: Bacteria
Description: 16S ribosomal RNA
Rfam family: Bacterial small subunit ribosomal RNA
Source: RNAcentral